Molecule: ribosomal RNA, 245 nt
Filed under: uncultured bacterium
Lineage: Bacteria
Description: partial 16S ribosomal RNA
Rfam family: Bacterial small subunit ribosomal RNA
Source: RNAcentral
UGCCUUCAGGAUGGGGACAACAGACGGAAACGACUGCUAAUACCGAAUAAGUUCCAAGAGCCGCAUGGCCCAUGGAAGAAAAGGUGGCCUCUACCUGUAAGCUAUCGCCUGAAGAGGGGUUUGCGUCUGAUUAGCUGGUUGGAGGGGGUAACGGCCCACCAAGGCGACGAUCAGUAGCCGGUCUGAGAGGAUGAACGGCCACACUGGAACUGAGACACGGCCAGACUCCUACGGGAGGCAGCAUG